GCGGCAGUGGCGUAAUGGUAGCCGCGUUAGUCUUAGGAACUAAUGUCGAGAGGCGUGUAGGUUCGAGUCCUAUCUGCCGUA
RNAcentral lists this transfer RNA (81 nucleotides) under Prevotellaceae bacterium. Its description in RNAcentral is "tRNA-Leu". It matches the Rfam family "tRNA". Rfam says of the family: Transfer RNA (tRNA) molecules are approximately 80 nucleotides in length. Their secondary structure includes four short double-helical elements and three loops (D, anti-codon, and T loops). Further hydrogen bonds mediate the characteristic L-shaped molecular structure. tRNAs have two regions of fundamental functional importance: the anti-codon, which is responsible for specific mRNA codon recognition, and the 3' end, to which the tRNAs corresponding amino acid is attached (by aminoacyl-tRNA synthetases). tRNAs cope with the degeneracy of the genetic code in two manners: having more than one tRNA (with a specific anti-codon) for a particular amino acid; and 'wobble' base-pairing, i.e. permitting non-standard base-pairing at the 3rd anti-codon position. Lineage: Bacteria; Pseudomonadati; Bacteroidota; Bacteroidia; Bacteroidales; Prevotellaceae. The record is from RNAcentral.